Molecule: unclassified non-coding RNA, 335 nt
Filed under: soil metagenome
Description: partial contains 5.8S ribosomal RNA, internal transcribed spacer 2, and large subunit ribosomal RNA
Rfam family: 5.8S ribosomal RNA (bases 1-120)
Source: RNAcentral
GAUGAAGAACGUAGCGAAAUGCGAUAAGUAGUGUGAAUUGCAGAAUUCAGUGAAUCAUCGAAUCUUUGAACGCACAUUGCACCCGCCAGUAUUCUGGCGGGCAUGCCUGUUCGAGCGUCAUUUCAACCAUCAAGCCCCCGGCUUGUGUUGGGGACCUGCGGCUGCCGCAGGCCCUGAAAACCAGUGGCGGGCUCGCUAGUCACUCCGAGCGUAGUAAUACAUCUCGCUCAGGGCGUGCUGCGGGUUCCGGCCGUUAAAAAGCCUUAUUUACCCAAGGUUGACCUCGGAUCAGGUAGGAAGACCCGCUGAACUUAAGCAUAUCAAUAAGCGGAGGA